CCUCCUAAAAGGUAACGGAGGCGCUCAAAGGUUCCCUCAGAAUGGUUGGAAAUCAUUCAUAGAGUGUAAAGGCAUAAGGGAGCUUGACUGCGAGACCUACAAGUCGAGCAGGGUCGAAAGACGGACUUAGUGAUCCGGUGGUUCCGCAUGGAAGGGCCAUCGCUCAACGGAUAAAAGCUACCCCGGGGAUAACAGGCUUAUCUCCCCCAAGAGUUCACAUCGACGGGGAGGUUUGGCACCUCGAUGUCGGCUCAUCGCAUCCUGGGGCUGUAGUCGGUCCCAAGGGUUGGGCUGUUCGCCCAUUAAAGCGGUACGCGAGCUGGGUUCAGAACGUCGUGAGACAGUUCGGUCCCUAUCCGUCGUGGGCGUAGGAAAUUUGAGAGGAGCUGUCCUUAGUACGAGAGGACCGGGAUGGACAUACCUCUGGUGUACCAGUUGUCGUGCCAACGGCAUAGCUGGGUAGCUAUGUGUGGACGGGAUAAGUGCUGAAAGCAUCUAAGCAUGAAGCCCCCCUCAAGAUGAGAUUUCCCAACUUCGGUUAUAAGAUCCCUCAAAGAUGAUGAGGUUAAUAGGUUCGAGGUGGAAGCAUGGUGACAUGUGGAGCUGACGAAUACUAAUCGAUCGAAGACUUAAUCAA
This 637-nucleotide ribosomal RNA is filed under the name Staphylococcus aureus. RNAcentral describes it as "partial 23S ribosomal RNA". It matches the Rfam family "Bacterial large subunit ribosomal RNA", at positions 2286 to 2925 of the family's 2925-position model. Lineage: Bacteria; Bacillati; Bacillota; Bacilli; Caryophanales; Staphylococcaceae. The record is from RNAcentral.